UACGGGGGGGGCAAGCGUUGUUCGGAAUUACUGGGCGUAAAGGGCGUGUAGGCGGUCUGUUAAGUCUGGCGUGAAAGCUCUCGGCUAAACCGGGAGAGGUCGUUGGAUACUGGCAGACUAGAGGACGGUAGAGGCGUGUGGAAUUCCGGGUGUAGUGGUGAAAUGCGUAGAGAUCCGGAGGAACACCAGUGGCGAAGGCGACACGCUGGGCCGUACCUGACGCUAAAGCGCGACAGCAUGGGGAGCAAACGGG
RNAcentral lists this ribosomal RNA (253 nucleotides) under uncultured bacterium. Its description in RNAcentral is "partial 16S ribosomal RNA". It matches the Rfam family "Bacterial small subunit ribosomal RNA", at positions 524 to 776 of the family's 1533-position model. The record is from RNAcentral.